Molecule: ribosomal RNA, 253 nt
Filed under: uncultured bacterium
Lineage: Bacteria
Description: partial 16S ribosomal RNA
Rfam family: Bacterial small subunit ribosomal RNA
Source: RNAcentral
UACGAAGGGAGCGAGCGUUGUUCGGAAUCACUGGGCUUAAAGCGUGCGUAGGUGGAUUGGUAAGUAAGGAGUGAAAUCCCAGGGCUUAACCCUGGAACUGCUCUUUAGACUGCCUGUCUGGAAUUCGGAAGAGGUUGGUGGAACUCCCAGUGUAGAGGUGAAAUUCGCAGAUAUUGGGAAGAACACCGGUGGCGAAGGCGACCAACUGGUCCGACAUUGACACUGAGGCGCGAAAGCUAGGGGAGCAAACAGG